RNAcentral lists this non-coding RNA (700 nucleotides) under Pongo abelii (Sumatran orangutan). The record is from RNAcentral. Lineage: Eukaryota; Metazoa; Chordata; Mammalia; Primates; Hominidae.
UAGAUUAGCAAGAUUUCUCACACUUAAACCACAAAUAUAUGUGGGUGUUUAGAUACAUACAUGCAUAUUAAAUAUCACCAGUUUUUUAGAUUAGCUGCAAGUCUUUUGAAACGAAGGGAAUUCAUGAUUCAAACACAAGUUUAAUGACAAAUUAUUUACCCAUGUAAUCAAACAAAUGGAUAUCCCUUAUAAGUAGUUACAUGAUCACUUCAGGUAUUCUUCAGUAAGUGAUACAUACAAUAAAUCAUGAUUGCCUCAGACAGCUUCUGGCCUUUAUGUAUAAAAUCACAACUAGCACUUACGUUACUGAGGGACAUUUAAUAAAUGCAAUGGCUCCUAGUUACAAAGUAACAGAAUGAACCAGCUAUAAGCACUGUGCAGUUACUAUAUGAACACAAGAACUAGCUCUUGGCAGUAGCAAUGAACUAGACUUUCUCCUCAAGCAGAGGUGUAUUAAAAGCUGCUCAGCAAUGAGAAGUAGUCCCUGGAUAUAUUCAUAAGUAUAAAUAAAGUUACAGACUCCUUUGUUACAAAAAUGUAAUUAAGGUAAAUAAUAGGACGUUAACAAAUGCUUUGUCAAUCUCUCAAAGGAGAAAGCACAGGAAAAGGAAAAUAGCUGGCCUAACACCCGGCUCAAAUUGUACAGUCUUCUAUCUAUAUAUAAAACUGUGUGAAAUAAAAGUAAGGAUGUUUUAUGUUC